Felis catus (domestic cat) is the source of this 351-nucleotide long non-coding RNA. RefSeq lists it as uncharacterized. Lineage: Eukaryota; Metazoa; Chordata; Mammalia; Carnivora; Felidae. The record is from RefSeq and is a predicted model, not a curated record. The transcript has 3 exons.
CUGGGGCAACACGCCUUUCACCGAAGCGGGAUCCGAGUGGCACGUCGGAUCUGCGUACGUAACCACACUCCUGACCCGAUGGGCCUCGUUCGUCUCAGCCCGGUGGGAUCGCGUAGACCAGCACAGGGGAUGGAUUACCGAUGUUCACUGGAACUUUCCUGUAUCUCCUCAAGAUUACACUCAUAUACACGUCCAAAGGUUUUGUAAUUUAUCCUCAUAAGUGAAUUAUGGCUUCUUCAAGACAACAACAACAACAACAACAACAUCGCCAUCAUUUGUAUUGUGGUGGAUUGAAUUUAUAUGUUACAUUUCAGAAAAUUUGCUAUCCUUCCAACAUUUAUUCUUUCCAUC